CAGUCGCCACGGGAAUAUAGAGGAUUUAAGCGUUAUACGGAAUGAUUGGGCGUAAAGCGUCUGUAGGUGGCCUUUCAAGUCCGUCGUCAAAUCCCAGGGCUCAACCCUGGACAGGCGGUGGAAACUACCAAGAUGGAGUACGGUAAGGACAGAGGGAAUUUCCGGUGGAGCGGUGAAAUGCGUUGAGAUCGGAAAGAACACCAACGGUGAAAGCACUCUGCUGGGCCGACACUGACACUGAGAGACGAAAGUUAGGGGAGAAAAUGGGAUUAGAUACCCCGGUAGUCCCUGUCUCUUAUAC
RNAcentral lists this ribosomal RNA (301 nucleotides) under uncultured bacterium. Its description in RNAcentral is "partial 16S ribosomal RNA". It matches the Rfam family "Bacterial small subunit ribosomal RNA", at positions 509 to 808 of the family's 1533-position model. The record is from RNAcentral.